AUGAAUUGCCAACAAAGUUGUCGAACAUUCAGUUCAUUAAGGUUCAAGUUCAGAUGGUUAGACAGCAUCACCAACUCAAUGGAUAUGAAUUUGAGCAAACUCCAGGAGAUAGAAGAAGACAGGGGCCCUGGGUGCUGCGGUCCAUGGGAUCACAAAGGGUUGGCCACAGCCUACCAACUGAGCAACCAACAAAUUCAGUGUCUCCUCGGUUCGCUGGCUUCAUGCUCUAACCAACAGAAGCAAGUGGCCUCCACUUUUAAAUCUUCCGGGAUCUAAAGGAUCCUGACAAGAAGAGACCUAUUUGAUUUCCAUGGGCGAUCAUUUAACCCAAAAGUACAACCUCAAGGAUGUGAGAGAUAUCCUCACAUGUACACAGAGUCAUUGCUCUGUGCAAUUACCUACUAGAAUAGCCAAAGCUGGAAAAAUCUAAAGGGCUAGCCAAAGGAGAAUACAUUAUGGAAUAUCCAUACUAAAUAACGCAACACAGGGAUUUAAAAGAAUGUACAAACAUGAAAAAUCUACAAGGUAUAAUUAGAGGAAAAAAAGAAACUGCAAAACAAUACAUGCUAAAUUAUCUAGUUCAUGACUUUUAAAACCCACAAAGAUAUGUGUACAAAGGCACAAAAAUAGCCUGGAAUGAUACACACUAAGCUGUUAAGAACAGUUAUUUUGAGGAGAGGAGGGAAAAUGGGAGAAAGAUUAUCUCAGUUUCUCAUACAAAGAAGAUUCUGUCUUUGGCUCUUGCCAUAGUGGAAAGUGCUGGGCUCCGCCGCGCCCAACGCAGUUCUGGGGUCCCCAGUACAACCCAGGUAGAAUCUUGGCAUCUAGUCCUAUCACUUCAUGGCAAAUAGAAGGAGAAAAGUGGAAGCAAUGACAAUUUUAUUUUCUUGGGCUCCAAAAUCACUGUGGAUGGGACUGCAGCUGUGAAACUAAAAGCCACUUGCUGCUUGGAAGGAAAGCUGUGACAAACCUCAGUUCAGUUCAGUUCAGUCGCUCAGUCGUGUCCGACUCUUUGUGACCCCAUGAAUCGCAGCACACCACCAACUCCCAGAGUUCACUCAGACUCACGUCCAGCUACCUCAUCCUCUGUUGUCCCCUUCUCCUCCUGCCCCCAAUCCCUCCCAGCAUCAGAGUCUUUUCCAAUGAGUCAACUCUUCUCAUGAGGUGGCCAAAGUACUGGAGUUUCAGCUUUAGCAUCAUUCCUUCCAAAGAAAUCCCAGGACUGAUCUCCUU
This 1233-nucleotide long non-coding RNA is filed under the name Ovis aries (sheep). Its description in RNAcentral is "lncRNA (ENSOARG00000025255.1)". The record is from RNAcentral. Lineage: Eukaryota; Metazoa; Chordata; Mammalia; Artiodactyla; Bovidae.